ACCUGGCUGGCUCAGUUGGUAGAGCACAAGUCUCCUGAUCUUGGGAUCAGGAGUUGGAGUCCCGUGUUAGGGG
RNAcentral lists this transfer RNA (73 nucleotides) under Canis lupus familiaris (dog). It matches the Rfam family "tRNA". Rfam says of the family: Transfer RNA (tRNA) molecules are approximately 80 nucleotides in length. Their secondary structure includes four short double-helical elements and three loops (D, anti-codon, and T loops). Further hydrogen bonds mediate the characteristic L-shaped molecular structure. tRNAs have two regions of fundamental functional importance: the anti-codon, which is responsible for specific mRNA codon recognition, and the 3' end, to which the tRNAs corresponding amino acid is attached (by aminoacyl-tRNA synthetases). tRNAs cope with the degeneracy of the genetic code in two manners: having more than one tRNA (with a specific anti-codon) for a particular amino acid; and 'wobble' base-pairing, i.e. permitting non-standard base-pairing at the 3rd anti-codon position. Lineage: Eukaryota; Metazoa; Chordata; Mammalia; Carnivora; Canidae. The record is from Rfam by way of RNAcentral. RNAcentral also lists the same sequence under 2 other names.